UUUUAGGGUGCUGUUUUUCUGGUA
This 24-nucleotide non-coding RNA is filed under the name Cricetulus griseus (Chinese hamster). Lineage: Eukaryota; Metazoa; Chordata; Mammalia; Rodentia; Cricetidae. The record is from RNAcentral.